ACAAGCGGUGGAGCAUGUGGUUUAAUUCGACGCAACGCGAGAACUUACCUGGGCUUGACAUCUGCGGAAUUUCUAUGAAAGUAGGAAGUGCCCUUCGGGAGCCGCAAGACAGGUGCUGCAUGGCUGUCGUCAGCUCGUGUCGUGAGAUGUUGGGUUAAGUCCCGCAACGAGCGCAACCCUUAUCUUUAGUUACCAUCAUUCAGUUGGGGACUCUAAAGAUACUGCCCCGGUCAACGGGGGAGGAAGGUGGGGAUGACGUCAAGUCCUCAUGGCCCUUAUGUCCAGGGCUACACACGUGCUACAAUGGGCAGUACAAAGGGUAGCAAGCCUGCGAAGGUGAGCCAAUCCUUAAAGCUGGUCUCAGUUCAGAUUGCAGGCUGCAACUCGCCUGCAUGAAGUCGGAGUUGCUAGUAACCGCGCGUCAGCAAUAGUGCGGUGAAUACGUUCCCGGGCCUU
RNAcentral lists this ribosomal RNA (456 nucleotides) under uncultured Desulfobacterium sp. RNAcentral describes it as "bacterial SSU rRNA". It matches the Rfam family "Bacterial small subunit ribosomal RNA", at positions 925 to 1382 of the family's 1533-position model. The record is from RNAcentral. Lineage: Bacteria; Pseudomonadati; Thermodesulfobacteriota; Desulfobacteria; Desulfobacterales; Desulfobacteriaceae.